UCCUACGGGAGGCAGCAGUGGGGAAUUUUGGACAAUGGGGGCAACCCUGAUCCAGCCAUUCCGCGUGAGUGAAGAAGGCCUUCGGGUUGUAAAGCUCUUUCGCAAGGGAAGAAAACUUAUGAUCGAAUAAAUCAUGAGGUUGACGGUACCUUGAUAAGAAGCACCGGCUAACUACGUGCCAGCAGCCGCGGUAAUACGUAGGGUGCGAGCGUUAAUCGGAAUUACUGGGCGUAAAGCGUGCGCAGGCGGUUUUGUAAGUCGGAUGUGAAAUCCCCGGGCUCAACCUGGGAACUGCGUUCGAAACUGCAAGGCUAGAGUGUGUCAGAGGGGGGUAGAAUUCCACGUGUAGCAGUGAAAUGCGUAGAGAUGUGGAGGAAUACCAAUGGCGAAGGCAGCCCCCUGGGAUAACACUGACGCUCAUGCACGAAAGCGUGGGGAGCAAACAGGAUUAGAUACCCUGGUAGUCCACGCCCUAAACGAUGUCAACUAGUUGUUGGUAGAGUAAAAUCUAUGAGUAACGUAGCUAACGCGUGAAGUUGACCGCCUGGGGAGUACGGUCGCAAGAUUAAAACUCAAAUGAAUUGACGGA
RNAcentral lists this ribosomal RNA (589 nucleotides) under uncultured bacterium. Its description in RNAcentral is "bacterial SSU rRNA". It matches the Rfam family "Bacterial small subunit ribosomal RNA", at positions 337 to 917 of the family's 1533-position model. The record is from RNAcentral.